This 230-nucleotide long non-coding RNA is filed under the name Lathyrus oleraceus (garden pea). RNAcentral's name for it is "Pisum sativum (pea) long non-coding RNA (PSAT_LNC021096)". The record is from RNAcentral. Lineage: Eukaryota; Viridiplantae; Streptophyta; Magnoliopsida; Fabales; Fabaceae.
UUCAAAUAAAUUAAACUAACACAAUAUACACACCAAGUCAAUUAAUUCAAUUAUUCAAUUAUAUCUCAUAUCAACUAAAUAAUUGAUUAACACACCAAAUUAAUAAAAUAAAAUAUAAUAAUAAUAUAAGAAAUAAAUACUAAAAAUUGGGUUGUUACAACUCUCCCCCACUUAAAAGAUUUUCGGCCUAGAAAAUUUACCUCAAACGAACAACUCUGGAUACAAUUCCC